GCCAUGGCUGGGAAAAGGUGGAAGGGCGAGACCAGGCAGUAAUGAGUGGGGAGAGAGAAGGGGAGGAGUAGGGUGGGAGGGAACGACAGAGACGCUCCAGAAGGGGCACACGGUGAGAAUGCGCAAGACGGUGUUUUACAACCUUAGAUCUCCCUCCCCCAAAGUAAUAAAUAGCCAGGGUCUAGGUGAGGUGAAGUGCAAUAAGAAAAAGUAAAUAUGGAACAUGAGAUGUCUGUUUUACUCAGCCUUUGCAUGUGUCAGACUGAAAUUUCAGAAAACGUCACCAAACUUCCAAAAAGCAUCCCCAGUAAGAAAGACGGACUUGAGACCCGGUGAAGAAAACCAAUGGGGUCUGGGCUUGAUGUUCACCGAUUUUCCCUCAGCUCCGACUGUGGCUCCUCUCAGCUGACUCUGACCCUGCUCUCAGCCGGGCUGCAUCUGCCCAUCUCAGCACAUCAAUAAACAGCAGAGGGAAACUACCACCUUGGAAGGAGCCAGGCAGUUUCUGCUGGGUAGGCCGCAGCCUGGAACAUGGAAGUAGCUUCUUCCAUCCUACACUGGAAACCACCCAGCAUCCCGGGCCCUCCAGAGAAGAGCCAGACUCCCUUCCCUGGGAAGAGACUAUAGUCCUAUCUGUAUCCUCCGUGGUCAUUGCCCCUCAGUCACAGCAAUGAAGAGCAAAUUACCUGUUUUCUGUAUGUUCCUCUGACAACAACUGCCACAGAGUAAAUAUGAAAGGUUCUGGAUGAUUCCUUGUCAGCUUUUAUUAAAAUUCCACAUACUUGGCAUUUCUUAGCUAUCUGGGUUGACUCCUGGUUCCACCCCUUACUAGUUGCGUGACCUUGAAAAAGUGACUUACCUUCUCACAUUCUCAGUUUCCAUAUCUGUCAAGUGUAGGUAAAAGCACCAAACUGGUAGAGUUAUUUUGAGAAUUAUAUGAGUUCUGAGUGAGAGGGUGCUAAGACCUUGCUGGUUAGAGUGGUUUUUCAAUCCUGAUCACCUCCUUCUCCCUCUUAGCUUCUUUUCUCCUCCCCCUCCUGCUUCUAGUCUAGGCUUCUGGCAAUUUUGACGUAACAAAAGUGGGAUUCCUUCAUUCCUGACUUCAGAGCUUUUCCUUACUUCAGUAUUGCAUGAUAAUUCUCAAGCCUGUUCUUUACAUAAAUACAAAAAGGAGAAAGUGAAAUAGUAGAGGAACCGACCGAUUUGAAGGAGCUGCCACUAUUUGAUUCCUCCUGUUAGGACAUCUGAAUGACCCCAAGUUCCUGUUCUUGAGGCUGUUGUAUCAUAUUCUUAAAAGCUAUGCAUGCAUUCUGCUUUGAAUGUGUCCCUCAGCCUCAUUCUUCUCCACUUGCUGGGGGCCAUCCCGCCCCACGGGAAGGUAAGUUCAGGCUCAGAAGGAAAGACACGACAAAAAAAUCUUGCUUUUAUUUUUGUUGUCUAAAAUCAUGUUUCAUGCUCUUCUUUGAAUAAAAUCCAGGACUCCAGAGAUGACCUGUUACUUUUCUUUCAGCAAGUCUCUAAUUUGCCGAGGAGUAAACUUGUAAUGAAAAGAAACCAGAACUCCCCAAGGUAGCUCCCCCUCACAGUCAUUCCUCAAGGCAGG
RNAcentral lists this long non-coding RNA (1603 nucleotides) under Homo sapiens (human). Its description in RNAcentral is "HSALNT0010854". The record is from RNAcentral. Lineage: Eukaryota; Metazoa; Chordata; Mammalia; Primates; Hominidae.